GAUGAACGCUGGCGGCGUGCCUAAUACAUGCAGGUCGAACGAAACUUCUUUAUCACCGAGUGCUUGCACUCACCGAUAAAGAGUUGAGUGGCGAACGGGUGAGUAACACGUGGGCAACCUGCCCAAAAGAGGGGGAUAACACUUGGAAACAGGUGCUAAUACCGCAUAACCAUAGUUACCGCAUGGUAACUAUGUAAAAGGUGGCUAUACUACCGCUUUUGGAUGGGCCCGCGGCGCAUUAGCUAGUUGGUAGGGUAAAGGCUUACCAAGGCAAUGAUGCGUAGCCGAAUUGAGAGGUUGAUCGGCCACAUUGGGACUGAGACACGGCCCAAACUCCUACGGGAGGCAGCAGUAGGGAAUCUUCCACAAUGGGCGAAAGCCUGAUGGAGCAACGCCGCGUGGGUGAAGAAGGUCUUCGGAUCGUAAAACCCUGUUGUUAGAGAAGAAAGUGCGUGAGAGUAACUGUUCACGUUUCGACGGUAUCUAACCAGAAAGCCACGGCUAACUACGUG
This 512-nucleotide ribosomal RNA is filed under the name uncultured bacterium. RNAcentral describes it as "partial 16S ribosomal RNA". It matches the Rfam family "Bacterial small subunit ribosomal RNA", at positions 28 to 507 of the family's 1533-position model. The record is from RNAcentral.